Molecule: ribosomal RNA, 2032 nt
Rfam family: Eukaryotic small subunit ribosomal RNA
AUUCUGGUUGAUCUGCCAGUACACUAUGCUCGUCUAUAAGACUAAGCCAUGUAUGUCUAUGUUCAAACAAAAUCUAAUGUGAGACUGCGAAAGGCUCAGUAAAUCAGUUAUAAUCUGUUUGAUUGUAAAUCCCAUUGGAUAACCGUGGGAAAUCUAGAGCUAAUACAUGUGAAAGAUUGUGUGGCAACAUGCAAUGCAUUUAUUAGACAACAACCAAUAUGCGUUGUGUUGAAUGGUAGUGAUACUGUUUGAUGCACCAUGUAGUUGAAUCUAGAUAACUUUGCUGAUCGUAUGGCCUAGUGCUGACGACGUUUCAAAUGAAUUUCUGCCCUAUCAACUAGUUGGUAAGGUAGUGGCUUACCAAGGUUACAACGGGUAACGGGGAAUCAGGGUUCGAUUCCGGAGAGGGAGCCUGAGAAACGGCUACCACAUCCAAGGGAGGCAACAGGCGCGCAAAUUACCCAAUCCAGACACUGGGAGGUGGUGACGAGAAAUACUGGAUCGUUUGUGACAAACAUGCGAUACCGGAAUGAACAUAAUUUAAGACUGUUGUCGAGAAACAAUUGGAGGGCAAGUCUGGUGCCAGCAGCCGCGGUAAUUCCAGCUCCAAUAGUGUCGUGUGACGUUGCUGCGGUUAAAACGCACGUAGUUGGAUUACGCAGUGUAAGAACGGUACUCUAUGUGUGGUGACAUUAAAGCUUCAAUGUUUUGUAUAUUUACAGGAUAACGGAUGUAUGACGCCAGUCUGCAUUACGACUUGUAUAAGUUACUGCAUUGAGGUGUUGCAAUGCAUAGAUUAUUCGCCGUCUUAUGCUACAUGUAUCGUGAAUGUAAUGUAUAGCCUUAAUUGGUCGUGUGUUGUGUUUGCGGAGUGUGCCUUGAAUAAAUCAAAGUGCUUAAAGCAGGCGUGUUGCUUGAAUGUUAAUAGCAUGGAACGAACAAUUGUGAAUGCACAAGUUUGAUGUAAUGUAUAAAUUCUGUUUGUGCAUAUGAUUGAGCUUGUGUAGCACCAACCAUUGAUACGGAUGUUGGUUUCCGUAUUGAGGUGAGUAUUAAAACGAGCGGUUGGGGGCAUUAGUAUUUGUCCGCGAGAGGUGAAAUUCUUGGACCGGACAAGGACUGACAAAUGCGAAAGCAUCUGCCUAGACCGUUUCGAUUGAUCAAGUACGAAAGUGAGAGGUUCGAAGACGAUCAGAUACCGUCCUAGUUCUCACUGUAAACUAUGCCAACCCGGGAUCAGUUUUGAGCUAAGUUAUAUACUAUGCUCGUGGUUGGUCCCCCUGGGAAACCUUAAGUUUUUAGGUUCCGGGGGGAGUAUGGUUGCAAGGCUGAAACUUAAAGGAAUUGACGGAAGGGCACCACCAGGGGUGGAGCCUGCGGCUUAAUUUGACUCAACACGGGAAAACUCACCAGGUCAGGACAUUGAAAGGAUUGACAGAUUGAUAGCUCUUUCAUGAUACGGUGUAUGGUGGUGCAUGGCCGUUCUUAGUUCGUGGAGUGAUCUGUCAGGCUUAUCCCGGUAACGGACGAGACCAUUGUCUUCAUUUAGAGUGUCAAAGUAAUAGUGUAUGCUAUGAUGGCAAUGUAUUGAGUUGGUGAGUGAAGUAGAGGUUACUCUAUUGUAAUUUAUCGAUGAUGUGCAUUCCCUUUGAUUUGCAGGACCGAACGGUUUUGUAUUAUGAAGAGACAACCGAGUAUACAAAGUCGGAGGAUGUAAAUGUCUAUAACAGGUCUGUGAUGCCCUAAGAUGUCCUGGGCUGCACGCGCGCUACAAUGACAACAUCAGCGAGUAUCUGUAUCGAAAGAUUUGGGCAAUCUUGUAAAUUGUUGUCGUGAUAGGGAUCGUGUCUUGUAAUUGUUGCACGUGAAAGAGGAAUCUCCAGUAAAUGCAACUCAUCAAGUUGUGUUGAUUAAGUCCCUGCCCUUUGUACACACCGCCCGUCGCUACUACCGAGUGAAUGGUGUCAUGAUGCGUUGUGACCGGACGUUGUCAUUCAUUCGCGUGAGUGUUGAUGCUGGGAUCAACGUAAAA